UACGUAGGGAGCAAGCGUUGUCCGGAUUUAUUGGGCGUAAAGGGUGCGUAGGUGGCGCUGUAAGUCGGGUGUGAAAUUUCGGAGCUUAACUCCGAAACUGCAUUCGAUACUGCGGUGCUUGAGGACUGGAGAGGAGACUGGAAUUCAUGGUGUAGCAGUGAAAUGCGUAGAGAUCAUGAGGAAGACCAGUGGCGAAGGCGGGUCUCUGGACAGUUCCUGACACUGAGGCACGAAGGCCAGGGGAGCAAACGGG
RNAcentral lists this ribosomal RNA (253 nucleotides) under uncultured bacterium. Its description in RNAcentral is "partial 16S ribosomal RNA". It matches the Rfam family "Bacterial small subunit ribosomal RNA", at positions 524 to 776 of the family's 1533-position model. The record is from RNAcentral.